Molecule: ribosomal RNA, 512 nt
Filed under: uncultured Flavobacteriaceae bacterium
Lineage: Bacteria; Pseudomonadati; Bacteroidota; Flavobacteriia; Flavobacteriales; Flavobacteriaceae
Description: bacterial SSU rRNA
Rfam family: Bacterial small subunit ribosomal RNA
Source: RNAcentral
UACUAGAGACCGGCGCACGGGUGCGUAACGCGUAUGCAAUCUACCUUUUACAGAGGGAUAGCCCAGAGAAAUUUGGAUUAAUACCUCAUAGUAUAGCGACCUGGCAUCAGGAUGUUAUUAAAGUCACAACGGUAAAAGAUGAGCAUGCGUCCCAUUAGCUAGUUGGUAAGGUAACGGCUUACCAAGGCGACGAUGGGUAGGGGUCCUGAGAGGGAGAUCCCCCACACUGGUACUGAGACACGGACCAGACUCCUACGGGAGGCAGCAGUGAGGAAUAUUGGACAAUGGGCGCAAGCCUGAUCCAGCCAUGCCGCGUGCAGGAUGACGGUCCUAUGGAUUGUAAACUGCUUUUGUACAGGAAGAAACCCUUUCACGUGUGAAAGAUUGACGGUACUGUAAGAAUAAGGAUCGGCUAACUCCGUGCCAGCAGCCGCGGUAAUACGGAGGAUCCAAGCGUUAUCCGGAAUCAUUGGGUUUAAAGGGUCCGUAGGCGGCCAGAUAAGUCAGUGGUG